AGUGAACGCUGGCGGUAGGCCUAACACAUGCAAGUCGAACGGCAGCACAGUAAGAGCUUGCUCUUACGGGUGGCGAGUGGCGGACGGGUGAGGAAUACAUCGGAAUCUACUUUUUCGUGGGGGAUAACGUAGGGAAACUUACGCUAAUACCGCAUACGACCUACGGGUGAAAGCAGGGGAUCUUCGGACCUUGCGCGAUUGAAUGAGCCGAUGUCGGAUUAGCUAGUUGGCGGGGUAAAGGCCCACCAAGGCGACGAUCCGUAGCUGGUCUGAGAGGAUGAUCAGCCACACUGGAACUGAGACACGGUACAGACUCCUACGGGAGGCAGCAGUGGGGAAUAUUGGACAAUGGGCGCAAGCCUGAUCCAGCCAUACCGCGUGGGUGAAGAAGGACUUCGGGUUUUAAAGCCCUUUUGUUGGGAAAGAAAAGCAGCAGGUUAAUACCCCGCUGUUCUGACGGUACCCAAAGAAUAAGCACCGGCUAACUUCGUG
Molecule: ribosomal RNA, 492 nt
Filed under: uncultured bacterium
Lineage: Bacteria
Description: partial 16S ribosomal RNA
Rfam family: Bacterial small subunit ribosomal RNA
Source: RNAcentral